This 460-nucleotide ribosomal RNA is filed under the name uncultured bacterium. Its description in RNAcentral is "partial 16S ribosomal RNA". It matches the Rfam family "Bacterial small subunit ribosomal RNA", at positions 338 to 795 of the family's 1533-position model. The record is from RNAcentral.
CCUACGGGUGGCAGCAGUGAGGAAUAUUGGUCAAUGGGCGCGAGCCUGAACCAGCCAAGUAGCGUGAAGGAUGACUGCCCUACGGUUUGUAAACUUCUUUUAUAAAGGAGUAGAGUGAGGCACGUGUGCCUUUUUGUAUGUACUUUAUGAAUAAGGAUCGGCUAACUCCGUGCCAGCCGCCGCGGUAAUACGGAGGAUCCGAGCGUUAUCCGGAUUUAUUGGGUUUAAAGGGAGCGUAGAUGGGUUGUUAAGUAAGUUGUGAAAGUGUGCGGCUCAACCGUAAAAUUGCAAUUGAUACUGGCAGCCUUGAGUACAGUUGAGGUAGGCGGAAUUCGUGGUGUAGCGGUGAAAUGCUUAGAUAUCACGAAGAACUCCGAUUGCGAAGGCAGCCUACUAAACUGCCACUGACAUUGAUGCUCGAAAGUGUGGGUAUCAAACAGGAUUAGAUACCCUAGUAGUC